This 250-nucleotide ribosomal RNA is filed under the name uncultured prokaryote. RNAcentral's name for it is "partial 16S ribosomal RNA". It matches the Rfam family "Bacterial small subunit ribosomal RNA", at positions 524 to 773 of the family's 1533-position model. The record is from RNAcentral.
UACGUAUGGGGCAAGCGUUAUCCGGAUUUACUGGGUGUAAAGGGAGCGUAGGCGGCAUAGCAAGUCAGAAGUGAAAGCCUGGGGCUCAACCCCGGAAUUGCUUUUGAAACUGUUAAGCUGGAGUGUCGGAGGGGUAAGCGGAAUUCCCAGUGUAGCGGUGAAAUGCGUAGAUAUUAGGAGGAACACCGGUGGCGAAGGCGGCUUACUGGACGAUUACUGACGCUGAGGCUCGAAAGCGUGGGGAGCAAAC